AAUAGAUACCCGGGUAGUCCACGCCGUAAACGAUGAGUGCUAAGUGUUAGGGGGUUUCCACCCCUUAGUGCUGCAGCUAACGCAUUAAGCACUCCGCCUGGGGAGUACGGUCGCAAGACUGAAACUCAAAGGAAUUGACGGGGGCCCGCACAAGCGGUGGAGCAUGUGGUUUAAUUCGAAGCAACGCGAAGAACCUUACCAGGUCUUGACAUCCCGGUGACCGCUCUAGAGAUAGAGCUUUCCCUUCGGGGACAGCGGUGACAGGUGGUGCAUGGUUGUCGUCAGCUCGUGUCGUGAGAUGUUGGGUUAAGUCCCGCAACGAGCGCAACCCUUGUUCUUAGUUGCCAUCAUUCAGUUGGGCACUCUAAGGAGACUGCCGCAGACAAUGCGGAGGAAGGUGGGGAUGACGUCAAAUCAUCAUGCCCCUUACGACCUGGGCUACACACGUGCUACAAUGGACGGUACAAACGGUUGCCAAGUCGCGAGACGGAGCUAAUCCGAUAAAACCGUUCUCAGUUCGGAUUGCAGG
This 529-nucleotide ribosomal RNA is filed under the name uncultured bacterium. RNAcentral's name for it is "bacterial SSU rRNA". It matches the Rfam family "Bacterial small subunit ribosomal RNA", at positions 777 to 1304 of the family's 1533-position model. The record is from RNAcentral.